Molecule: ribosomal RNA, 465 nt
Filed under: uncultured bacterium
Lineage: Bacteria
Description: partial 16S ribosomal RNA
Rfam family: Bacterial small subunit ribosomal RNA
Source: RNAcentral
CCUACGGGUGGCAGCAGUGGGGAAUAUUGCGCAAUGGGCGAAAGCCUGACGCAGCGACGCCGCGUGAGGGAUGAAGGUCUUCGGAUCGUAAACCUCUGUCAGCAGGGAAGAACGGUCACUUUGCUAAUCAGCAGUGCAUUGACGGUACCUGCAAAGGAAGCACCGGCUAACUCCGUGCCAGCAGCCGCGGUAAUACGGAGGGUGCGAGCGUUAAUCGGAAUUACUGGGCGUAAAGCUUUCGUAGGCGGUAUGUCAAGUCAAGGGUGAAAUCCCCGCGCUCAACGUGGGAACUGCCUUUGAAACUGGCAAACUGGAGUGUGGGAGAGGAUAGUGGAAUUCCAGGUGUAGGAGUGAAAUCCGUAGAUAUCUGGAGGAACAUCAGUGGCGAAGGCGACUAUCUGGCACAUAACUGACGCUGAGGAGCGAAAGCGUGGGUAGCAAACAGGAUUAGAUACCCCUGUAGUC